This 253-nucleotide ribosomal RNA is filed under the name uncultured bacterium. RNAcentral's name for it is "partial 16S ribosomal RNA". It matches the Rfam family "Bacterial small subunit ribosomal RNA", at positions 524 to 776 of the family's 1533-position model. The record is from RNAcentral.
UACGUAGGGCGCAAGCGUUGUCCGGAAUUAUUGGGCGUAAAGAGCUCGUAGGCGGCCUGUCGCGUCCGCUGUGAAAUCCCGGGGCUUAACUCCGGGUCUGCGGUGGAUACGGGCAGACUGGAGGCAGGUAGGGGAGAACGGAAUUCCCGGUGUAGCGGUGAAAUGCGCAGAUAUCGGGAGGAACACCGGUGGCGAAGGCGGUUCUCUGGGCCUGUACUGACGCUGAGGAGCGAAAGCGUGGGGAGCGAACAGG